Molecule: ribosomal RNA, 253 nt
Filed under: uncultured bacterium
Lineage: Bacteria
Description: partial 16S ribosomal RNA
Rfam family: Bacterial small subunit ribosomal RNA
Source: RNAcentral
UACGGGGGGGGCAAGCGUUGUUCGGAAUUACUGGGCGUAAAGGGCGCGUAGGCGGCUUUAUAAGUCGGGGGUGAAAGCCUGUGGCUCAACCACAGAAUUGCCUUCGAUACUGUAGAGCUUGAGACCGGAAGAGGUAAGUGGAACUGCGAGUGUAGAGGUGAAAUUCGUAGAUAUUCGCAAGAACACCAGUGGCGAAGGCGGCUCACUGGCCCGGUACUGACGCUGAGGUGCGAAAGCGUGGGGAGCAAACAGG